GGGUUGUGAGGUUAAGCGACUAAGCGUACACGGUGGAUGCCCUGGCAGUCAGAGGCGAUGAAGGACGUGCUAAUCUGCGAUAAGCGUCGGUAAGGUGAUAUGAACCGUUAUAACCGGCGAUUUCCGAAUGGGGAAACCCAGUGUGAUUCGUCACACUAUCAUUAACUGAAUCCAUAGGUUAAUGAGGCGAACCGGGGGAACUGAAACAUCUAAGUACCCCGAGGAAAAGAAAUCAACCGAGAUUCCCCCAGUAGCGGCGAGCGAACGGGGAGCAGCCCAGAGCCUGAAUCAGUGUGUGUGUUAGUGGAAGCGUCUGGAAAGGCGCGCGAUACAGGGUGACAGCCCCGUACACAAAAAUGCACAUGCUGUGAGCUCGAUGAGUAGGGCGGGACACGUGGUAUCCUGUCUGAAUAUGGGGGGACCAUCCUCCAAGGCUAAAUACUCCUGACUGACCGAUAGUGAACCAGUACCGUGAGGGAAAGGCGAAAAGAACCCCGGCGAGGGGAGUGAAAAAGAACCUGAAACCGUGUACGUACAAGCAGUGGGAGCCUCUUUAUGGGGUGACUGCGUACCUUUUGUAUAAUGGGUCAGCGACUUAUAUUCUGUAGCAAGGUUAACCGAAUAGGGGAGCCGAAGGGAAACCGAGUCUUAACUGGGCGUUAAGUUGCAGGGUAUAGACCCGAAACCCGGUGAUCUAGCCAUGGGCAGGUUGAAGGUUGGGUAACACUAACUGGAGGACCGAACCGACUAAUGUUGAAAAAUUAGCGGAUGACUUGUGGCUGGGGGUGAAAGGCCAAUCAAACCGGGAGAUAGCUGGUUCUCCCCGAAAGCUAUUUAGGUAGCGCCUCGUGAAUUCAUCUCCGGGGGUAGAGCACUGUUUCGGCAAGGGGGUCAUCCCGACUUACCAACCCGAUGCAAACUGCGAAUACCGGAGAAUGUUAUCACGGGAGACACACGGCGGGUGCUAACGUCCGUCGUGAAGAGGGAAACAACCCAGACCGCCAGCUAAGGUCCCAAAGUCAUGGUUAAGUGGGAAACGAUGUGGGAAGGCCCAGACAGCCAGGAUGUUGGCUUAGAAGCAGCCAUCAUUUAAAGAAAGCGUAAUAGCUCACUGGUCGAGUCGGCCUGCGCGGAAGAUGUAACGGGGCUAAACCAUGCACCGAAGCUGCGGCAGCGACACUUAUGUGUUGUUGGGUAGGGGAGCGUUCUGUAAGCCUGCGAAGGUGUGCUGUGAGGCAUGCUGGAGGUAUCAGAAGUGCGAAUGCUGACAUAAGUAACGAUAAAGCGGGUGAAAAGCCCGCUCGCCGGAAGACCAAGGGUUCCUGUCCAACGUUAAUCGGGGCAGGGUGAGUCGACCCCUAAGGCGAGGCCGAAAGGCGUAGUCGAUGGGAAACAGGUUAAUAUUCCUGUACUUGGUGUUACUGCGAAGGGGGGACGGAGAAGGCUAUGUUGGCCGGGCGACGGUUGUCCCGGUUUAAGCGUGUAGGCUGGUUUUCCAGGCAAAUCCGGAAAAUCAAGGCUGAGGCGUGAUGACGAGGCACUACGGUGCUGAAGCAACAAAUGCCCUGCUUCCAGGAAAAGCCUCUAAGCAUCAGGUAACAUCAAAUCGUACCCCAAACCGACACAGGUGGUCAGGUAGAGAAUACCAAGGCGCUUGAGAGAACUCGGGUGAAGGAACUAGGCAAAAUGGUGCCGUAACUUCGGGAGAAGGCACGCUGAUA
RNAcentral lists this ribosomal RNA (1721 nucleotides) under Escherichia coli. Its description in RNAcentral is "partial 23S ribosomal RNA". It matches the Rfam family "Bacterial large subunit ribosomal RNA", at positions 1 to 1756 of the family's 2925-position model. Lineage: Bacteria; Pseudomonadati; Pseudomonadota; Gammaproteobacteria; Enterobacterales; Enterobacteriaceae. The record is from RNAcentral.